GACGAACGCUGGCGGCGUGCUUAACACAUGCAAGUCGAACGGAGCGAAUGAAAGCUUGCUUUUAUGAGCUUAGUGGCAAACGGGUGAGUAACACGUAGACAACCUGCCGACAGGAUGGGGACAACAUUCCGAAAGGAAUGCUAAUACCGAAUGAAGCGGAGGAGAGGCAUCUCUCUUCCGUGAAAGAUGGCCUCUUUUUAUGCUAUCACCUGUUGAUGGGUCUACGUCUGAUUAGCUGGUAGGUGAGGUAACGGCUCACCCAGGCGACGAUCAGUAGCCGGUCUGAGAGGAUGAACGGCCACAUUGGGACUGAGACACGGCCCAGACUCCUACGGGAGGCAGCAGUGGGGAAUCUUCCGCAAUGGGCGCAAGCCUGACGGAGCAACGCCGCGUGAGUGAAGAAGGUCUUCGGAUCGUAAAGCUCUGUUGACGGGGACGAACGUGCGUGAUGCGAACAGUGUCAUGCAAGACGGUACC
This 477-nucleotide ribosomal RNA is filed under the name Centipeda flueggei. RNAcentral's name for it is "bacterial SSU rRNA". It matches the Rfam family "Bacterial small subunit ribosomal RNA", at positions 28 to 479 of the family's 1533-position model. Lineage: Bacteria; Bacillati; Bacillota; Negativicutes; Selenomonadales; Selenomonadaceae. The record is from RNAcentral.